UUCUUCUUCUUCUUCUUCUUUUCCUAUUAACUUUUUUAGAACAUACAGAAUUUCAGUUUCUUUGUACUGUGAGGCCUGUGGACAGAAUGGACGCCUUUUUAGAUGGCAUUUUUUUUAAUACAUUCAUUGGCACAUUUAAAUUCAUCAAUAUUUCAACAAUUACAGCAAACAACAUAAAGAAAUUAUGGUUUAAUAUCAUGUACCACUUAUCUUUUGGCCAUCUUACCUAUUCAAAGUUGAAGAGGAAAUCUAUUUUGUGCCAUCAAGAGGAUACCAAUCAUGAAAUGAAUCUGUAAUAACUGAUUCCAGUCUAGUCUUAUAAUUCUGUUUUUGACAUUUUCAUAUGAGUUGAUGCAGAAGCUUGUGAAAGUUACUCAUUGUGGUAUUUAUGGUGUCAUAUCUGUUUUUCUUGGUACUUUAGCUGGUUUUAGGGUACCCCUUUUCUUUUCUCUUUCCUUGAGAUUAAGGCAUAGUUGUUGUUGUUGUUGUUUGAGAUAUUUUAAACUCAGGUUAAAAUUAAUUUCGAUCCUUUACAGUCUGAUGAGAGUAUAGUUCAAACACGGGUACAAGUAACUUGUAGAAUAAUUCAUGGAUCAAUCAGAGCAAACACAACAACAACAACAUUCCCAGCAACCACAGCAGCCUGUAAUGGGAGUGGUAGCUGGUGCAGGUCAGAUGUCCUAUGCUACUACCCCCUACCAAACUGCUGCAAUGAUGGCUUCUGGAACACCUGCCAUAGCUGUGGCUUCCCCAACUCAGCCGUCAUCCCCUUUCUCUAAUUCUCCUCAUCAGCUUACCUACCAACAGGCCCAGCACUUUCACCAUCAACGGCAGCAGCAGCAGCUUCAAGUGUUCUGGGCCAACCAAAUGCAAGAAAUUGAGCAAACAACUGACUUCAAGAAUCACAGCCUCCCACUUGCUCGAAUUAAAAAAAUAAUGAAAGCUGAUGAAGACGUCCGAAUGAUUUCAGCUGAGGCUCCUGUUAUAUUUGCUAAGGCGUGUGAAAUGUUCAUCUUGGAGCUAACUCUGCGCUCUUGGAUUCACACAGAAGAGAACAAGAGGAGGACAUUACAAAAGAAUGAUAUUGCAGCUGCCAUUUCGAGGACUGACGUUUUUGAUUUCUUGGUUGAUAUUAUUCCCAGAGAUGAAUUAAAAGAGGAGGGAUUAGGGGUCACUAAGGCUACUAUUCCUAUGGUUGGUUCUCCUGCUGAUAUUCCGUAUUACUAUGUCCCACCACAGCCUCCUGUGGGACCUCCAGGGAUGAUCAUGGGAAAGCCAGUUGAUCAAGCAGCAGCCUAUGGAGCCCAGCAGCCUCGACCACCUGUGGCAUUCAUGCCGUGGCCACAGACUCAACCACAGCAACAAGAAGCUCAACAGCAGCAAAGUGAUACUUCAUGAAGGGCCAGGUAAUGUGAACUGUUGAUUAUCAGCAUAGAGCUGGUGAUCGACAAUGAAUUUUAGUAGCAUCUUGUAUCUUUAGUGAAAGGGUUAGCGUUAGUCUCUUGUAAUGCUAGAACUGAGUUGUUUAUGCUUGUCAAAUGUGAGGCAGCUGGAUCAUGUAUGGGCUUGUGUUUCCUCUUAUUUUGACAAAUCUCUAUGAUUGUGCGUCUUUAAUUUUGUGGUGGUAUCUGGAUAGAAGGGAAGUAUGAUGGCUGUAAUUUUCAAAUUUUGGUUGACUAAUCUGGUGAUGGAUAGAGCUUCAAAGGAAUCUGACUGUUAUUGCAGCUAUUAUUUGCGGAUAUGUUAACAGGCUUUCUUCUAGGAAUCUUCCGAAUUUUCAACUCCUUUUUGUAAUCCAUUAUUCCCAGUCCGUCUUUGUGGAUGGAAGCAGACUCGGGGGUUGGCCGUUGGGCUUUGCCCAGUAAUCUUCAACCCCAAGUGCAUUUCUUUUGGAUUUUGUAUCUUCCCCUUCAACAGAAAUGUAGUUUCAGGCGGGGUUGAUUGAUAUAAAAAUGUAUUUUAGCACUUGGGUAGAAUAUUACUGGGAGCCAGCUAGCUGCAUCAACCUAACAUUUGGCCCUUCAAAAUGAAACCUGGUUUUAAACAUGAUAGAUAGAAGUGUGUGCCGUUGUUAUGAUGCUUCUCACAUUGGUCCCUUCCUCUGCUUGCUUAAAGAGUGUGCGUCUCAGGGGAAGAGGCUCAUUGCCGGUUAACUAUAAAUUUGUAUCUGAUCUUUAAUUGUAACUGCCAAACUACUUAAAGGCUACUUCUCAAGCUGUCUUCCAUCGAGGACACCGCGCCUUAUGAAUAUUGAAAAAUGCAGGUUAACA
This 2270-nucleotide unclassified non-coding RNA is filed under the name Hevea brasiliensis (rubber tree). Lineage: Eukaryota; Viridiplantae; Streptophyta; Magnoliopsida; Malpighiales; Euphorbiaceae. The record is from RNAcentral.